Molecule: non-coding RNA, 71 nt
Organism: Podarcis lilfordi (Lilford's wall lizard)
Lineage: Eukaryota; Metazoa; Chordata; Lepidosauria; Squamata; Lacertidae
Source: the annotation of a GenBank genome assembly
GGCCAUAGCUCAGUGGCAGAGUAUCAACCUUGCAUGUGGAAGGUCCCAGGUUCAAUCUCCAGGGAGUGUCC